AUGAAUUUUUUUUUGAAAUCGGGUCUCAGCUCGACUUGACCUGCUCAUGGAUAGCUUUACCUGUGAGUCCAAACCCUCACAUGCCAAAGACCUUACAACCCCAUACCAUCAAAAUCACACACUUGACAUGGAUAAGGUAUUUGUCACUCGUACGCAAUGAUAUCCAUUCAUUUGAUAUGAUAGCACAUACCUACAUUAACAACGUAUCAGUAGAUAAGCUAAAUAUUAGAGUUCGAAACUAAUACCAUAUGGAUGACACGUGACACAUCGAGAAAUGAUUAGAGACAAAUCCUUAAUUGCCUAUCGGCAUUAGGAUAGAAGGCCAAGACAUUCUCUCUCCUCUCUUCCAUCCUCUUUUUCUCUAAGUACCCAUAUUCCCAUCAUUCUAAUUUUCGUACGACUCUCCACUCUUUCAAUGAACCGUCACAAAACACCGCAACCUCAUCUUCACAUCAACAAUAACAUAUAAUUGUUAAACCCCAAUAAAUAAAUACGUUAGACCGUUAGUAGCAAAGUAUAUAUAUACAAAAAUAAAAAAGAGGAACAGUGGGUGGCCUGGCCUGCAUGCGAAGGCUGGAAGAGGGGCAUCAAUGAAUGAAACAACGUGCUUUUCUGUGUCUAUAGAUUCCAUAAUCCUCCAAUCUCUCUCUCUCUACCUGCAACAUUUGUC
Molecule: long non-coding RNA, 670 nt
Filed under: Gossypium barbadense (sea-island cotton)
Lineage: Eukaryota; Viridiplantae; Streptophyta; Magnoliopsida; Malvales; Malvaceae
Description: long non-coding RNA (GBAR_LNC013138)
Source: RNAcentral